UAAACAUAGAUGGUACCCUACACCCACCAUCCGCCUGGGAACUACGAGCACCAGCUUAAAACCCAAAGGACUUGGCGGUGCUUAAGAUCCACCUAGAGGAGCCUGUUAUAUAACCGAUAAUCCCCGUUAAACCUCACCCCCUCUUGCCCAUUCCGUCUAUAUACCGCCGUCGUCAGCUUACCCUUUGAAGGAAACAACGUAAGCAAAACUGGCAAAACCUAAAACGUCAGGUCGAGGUGUAGCAUAUGAGGGGGGAAACAUUAUGGGCUACAUUCACUAUAGUAGUGAAUCACGGAAAAUGCUGCUGAAACGCACAUCUGAAGGAGGAUUUAGCAGUAAGUAGGAACUAGAGUGUCCCACUGAAACCGGCCCUGAAGCGCGCACACACCGCCCGUCACUCUCCCCAAGCUGAGCCUUAUUACAUAACUAAUACCUAACACCUGCAUAAGGGGAGGCAAGUCGUAACAUGGUAAGUGUACCGGAAGGUGCACUUGGAACAAC
RNAcentral lists this ribosomal RNA (501 nucleotides) under Parachanna africana. RNAcentral describes it as "partial 12S ribosomal RNA". It matches the Rfam family "Bacterial small subunit ribosomal RNA", at positions 801 to 1527 of the family's 1533-position model. Lineage: Eukaryota; Metazoa; Chordata; Actinopteri; Anabantiformes; Channidae. The record is from RNAcentral.